This 753-nucleotide non-coding RNA is filed under the name Dicronychus cinereus. The record is from RNAcentral. Lineage: Eukaryota; Metazoa; Arthropoda; Insecta; Coleoptera; Elateridae.
GUAAAGUUUUAUUUAAGCUUGGGAUUUCAGUUUAUGUUUUUUUCACAUGUACUAAUGAAAUAGCUCUAAAUGAGUAAAUUUGCAGUGUUUUGUCUUAAAAUUUAAGUUAUUUUAGAUUUAGAAAUUCAUUUGAGUUCUAAUAAAAAUUGUGCCAGCAAUUGCGGUUAUACAAUUAGGGCAGUUGAAAGGUUUUGGUUAACAAUAAAUUAUUUAUUUUAAAUGGAAUUUAAUAAUUUGAGGGUGAAAUCUAAAUUUUUAUAUAAUUUUAUUUUUUUGUUUAUGAUUUUGUUAAAGUUUUAAAAUAAACUAGGAUUAGAUACCCUAUUAUUUGAACUGUAAAUUUUUAUGCCUUAUUAUUAUUAGAUUAUGUUCUUGAAAAUUAAAGAUUUUGGCGGUAUUUUAGUCCUUUCAGAGGAACCUGUCCUGUAAUUGAUAGUCCACGAUUAAUUUUACUUUCUUAUUGGCUUGUAUAUCGUCGUUAUUGAAAAUUUUUUUAGAAUUAAAAUUUUCAAUAUUUAUUAUUUUAGCUAAUGUCAGAUCAAGGUGCAGCAUUGGGGAAGAAGAGAUGGGUUACAAUAAAUUUAUUUUUGGUUUAAGAUUUUUGAGGAUCUUUUUAAAUUGGAUUUGAGUGUAAUUUGGUUUACAUAUUCUUGGUGAUUUAGGCUCUAAAAUAUGCACAUAUUGCCCGUCACUCUCAAAAAUUUGAGAUAAGUCGUAACAUAGUAGAUGUACUGGAAAGUGUAUCUAGAACUA